Molecule: ribosomal RNA, 252 nt
Filed under: uncultured bacterium
Lineage: Bacteria
Description: partial 16S ribosomal RNA
Rfam family: Bacterial small subunit ribosomal RNA
Source: RNAcentral
UACGGAGGAUGCGAGCGUUAUCCGGAUUUAUUGGGUUUAAAGGGUGCGUAGGCGGACGCUUAAGUCAGCGGUAAAAUUGCGGGGCUCAACCUCGUCGAGCCGUUGAAACUGGGUGCCUUGAGUGGGCGAGAAGUACGCGGAAUGCGUGGUGUAGCGGUGAAAUGCAUAGAUAUCACGCAGAACUACGAUUGCGAAGGCAGCGUACCGGCGCCCAACUGACGCUGAAGCACGAAGGCGUGGGUAUCGAACAGG